RNAcentral lists this ribosomal RNA (599 nucleotides) under uncultured bacterium. RNAcentral describes it as "bacterial SSU rRNA". It matches the Rfam family "Bacterial small subunit ribosomal RNA", at positions 112 to 704 of the family's 1533-position model. The record is from RNAcentral.
AAUAGAUAGGAACGUACCAAGGAGUGGGGGAUAACCGCGGGAAACCACGGCUAAUACCGCAUGACAUCGUAAGAUCAAAGGUGGCCUCUACAUGUAAGCUAUCGCUUUUUGAUCGGCCUAUCUCCCAUUAGCUAGUUGGCAGGGUAAAGGCCUACCAAGGCGACGAUGGGUAGCUGGUCUGAGAGGACGGCCAGCCACACUGGAACUGAGACACGGUCCAGACUCCUACGGGAGGCAGCAGUGGGGAAUCUUGCACAAUGGGCGCAAGCCUGAUGCAGCAACGCCGCGUGGGUGAAGAAGGCUCUUGGGUCGUAAAGCCCUUUCGAUUAGGAAGAAGGGUGUACGUAUAAAUAAUGCGUAUGCUUGACGGUACUAGAAGAAGAAGCACCGGCUAACUCCGUGCCAGCAGCCGCGGUAAUACGGAGGGUGCGAGCGUUGUUCGGAAUGACUGGGCGUAAAGAGCACGUAGGCGGGCAUUUAAGUCGGAUGUGAAAUCCCCAGGCUUAACCUGGGAACUGCAUCUGAAACUGGAUGUCUUGAAUGCCUGAGGGGUUGAUGGAAUUCCAGGUGUAGGAGUGAAAUCCGUAGAUAUCUGGAGG